UACGAAGGUCCCAAGCGUUGUUCGGAAUCACUGGGCGUAAAGGGUGCGUAGGCGGUUUGGUAAGUCAGAUGUGAAAUCCCGGGGCUCAACCCCGGAACUGCAUCCGAUACUGCCGGACUAGAGGACUGGAGAGGUGACUGGAAUUCUCGGUGUAGCAGUGAAAUGCGUGGAUAUCGAGAGGAACACUCGUGGCGUAAGCGAGUCACUGGACAGUAUCUGACGCUGAGGCACGAAGGCCAGGGUAGCGAAAGGG
Molecule: ribosomal RNA, 253 nt
Filed under: uncultured bacterium
Lineage: Bacteria
Description: partial 16S ribosomal RNA
Rfam family: Bacterial small subunit ribosomal RNA
Source: RNAcentral